RNAcentral lists this ribosomal RNA (943 nucleotides) under Campylobacter jejuni. RNAcentral's name for it is "partial 23S ribosomal RNA". It matches the Rfam family "Bacterial large subunit ribosomal RNA", at positions 1 to 963 of the family's 2925-position model. Lineage: Bacteria; Pseudomonadati; Campylobacterota; Epsilonproteobacteria; Campylobacterales; Campylobacteraceae. The record is from RNAcentral.
AGGUAAGCUACUAAGAGCGAAUGGUGGAUGCCUUGACUGGUAAAGGCGAUGAAGGACGUACUAGACUGCGAUAAGCUACGGGGAGCUGUCAAGAAGCUUUGAUCCGUAGAUUUCCGAAUGGGGCAACCCAAUGUAUAGAGAUAUACAUUACCUAUAUAGGAGCGAACGAGGGGAAUUGAAACAUCUUAGUACCCUCAGGAAAAGAAAUCAAUAGAGAUUGCGUCAGUAGCGGCGAGCGAAAGCGCAAGAGGGCAAACCCAGUGCUUGCACUGGGGGUUGUAGGACUGCAAUGUGCAAGAGGUAAGUUUAGCAGAACAUUCUGGAAAGUAUAACCAUAGAGGGUGAUAGUCCCGUAUGCGAAAAACAAACCUUAGCUAGCAGUAUCCUGAGUAGGGCGGGACACGAGGAAUCCUGUCUGAAUCCGGGUCGACCACGAUCCAACCCUAAAUACUAAUACCAGAUCGAUAGUGCACAAGUACCGUGAGGGAAAGGUGAAAAGAACUGAGGUGAUCAGAGUGAAAUAGAACCUGAAACCAUUUGCUUACAAUCAUUCAGAGCCCUAUGUAGCAAUACAGGGUGAUGGACUGCCUUUUGCAUAAUGAGCCUGCGAGUUGUGGUGUCUGGCAAGGUUAAGCAAACGCGAAGCCGUAGCGAAAGCGAGUCUGAAUAGGGCGCUUAGUCAGAUGCUGCAGACCCGAAACGAAGUGAUCUAUCCAUGAGCAAGUUGAAGCUAGUGUAAGAACUAGUGGAGGACUGAACCCAUAGGCGUUGAAAAGCCCCGGGAUGACUUGUGGAUAGGGGUGAAAGGCCAAUCAAACUUCGUGAUAGCUGGUUCUCUCCGAAAUAUAUUUAGGUAUAGCGUUGUGUCGUAAUAUAAGGGGGUAGAGCACUGAAUGGGCUAGGGCAUACACCAAUGUACCAAACCCUAUCAAACUCCGAAUAC